GGUGAGUAAUGCCUAGGAAUCUGCCUGGUAGUGGGGGACAACGUUUCGAAAGGAACGCUAAUACCGCAUACGUCCUACGGGAGAAAGCAGGGACCUUCGGGCCUUGCGCUAUCAGAUGAGCCUAGGUCGGAUUAGCUAGUUGGUGAGGUAAUGGCUCACCAAGGCGACGAUCCGUAACUGGUCUGAGAGGAUGAUCAGUCACACUGGAACUGAGACACGGUCCAG
RNAcentral lists this ribosomal RNA (225 nucleotides) under uncultured Pseudomonadales bacterium. RNAcentral describes it as "partial 16S ribosomal RNA". It matches the Rfam family "Bacterial small subunit ribosomal RNA", at positions 105 to 334 of the family's 1533-position model. Lineage: Bacteria; Pseudomonadati; Pseudomonadota; Gammaproteobacteria; Pseudomonadales. The record is from RNAcentral.